Paramacrobiotus metropolitanus is the source of this 694-nucleotide long non-coding RNA. RefSeq lists it as uncharacterized. The record is from RefSeq and is a predicted model, not a curated record. The transcript is spliced from 3 exons. Lineage: Eukaryota; Metazoa; Tardigrada; Eutardigrada; Parachela; Macrobiotidae.
UCGUGCGUGCAAAAACACAAGGGCAGGGACCUGAAACAGGGUAUCUAUCGUCUUCAAAUCUGCUUCAUACUUAUUAGGUAUCCCUUAAAUUGUUGGUCUACUCGAUAGCCUAAACGUCGUUUUGCCAAAACAAAUCUGAAUUUAUCUGUACUGACUGUACAUACCUCAACUGGACGCGGCAUCGUGAUGGGACCUCGUAAAUGUGGCAGUCUGAUCUUGUGGUCGUUUAUAUCUGCAAACAUAUGUUGCAUCACAUAGUUGUAUGCUCGGUGAUACUAUAAUGCCAGUUUCCAUAAUUCACAAACAGAAAUCAGAAAGUAGAAAUCGCACUCACUUCGGACCAAGCUUCCUUUCAAAUUCUCCAGACAUUAUGCCAGCUGUACUAGCACGAAGAUUCUCGCAUGGUUCGGUCGCCCUACACAAAUCUUGACGAUAGUUCAACUCGGACGACAACUUCCGAAAAGCAACGCUAAAAAAUCUCAGGCUGACCGUGGUUUUGCAUAAGGUACUGUAUAUAGCUGGAAGCCGCGCAGUCUUCGAUGUGCGGUCGUAUGGAAUUUGGCUUCACCGGAACAGUCACACCACAGGGAAGCUCCCGCCGGCCGCAGCUAAUCACCUUUACUGUGAAAUUAUCCAAAUCCGCUAUGAUCGCGGAUGCUUCCGCGAUCAUAGCGAUGGCUCAUCCGUCAAGCAA